This 253-nucleotide ribosomal RNA is filed under the name uncultured bacterium. Its description in RNAcentral is "partial 16S ribosomal RNA". It matches the Rfam family "Bacterial small subunit ribosomal RNA", at positions 524 to 776 of the family's 1533-position model. The record is from RNAcentral.
GACGAACCGUGCGAACGUUAUUCGGAAUCACUGGGCUUAAAGGGCGCGUAGGCGGAUUUGCAAGUCUGUGGUGAAAUCCUCCAGCUUAACUGGAGAAGUGCCAUGGAUACUGCGAGUCUCGAGGAAGGUAGGGGCAUCUGGAACUGCCGGUGGAGCGGUGAAAUGCGUUGAUAUCGGCAGGAACUCCGGUGGCGAAGGCGGUUCUCUGGGAAUGACCUGACGCUGAGGAGCGAAAGUGUGGGGAGCGAACAGG